This 329-nucleotide long non-coding RNA is filed under the name Eucalyptus grandis. Its description in RNAcentral is "long non-coding RNA (EGRA_LNC006974)". The record is from RNAcentral. Lineage: Eukaryota; Viridiplantae; Streptophyta; Magnoliopsida; Myrtales; Myrtaceae.
UGACGAGAGAUCCUUGUUGAGGAACCCGAAGAGAGUACGUGGAGGAGACCCCGAGUAUGACAUCGAGUACGACCCGGAUGAGGACCGAAAUCCUAUCCUGUCUUGUCAGACCUUGUUUGCUUGUAAAAAGUUGUCGUUGUGAAUUUUCAGUGAGAAAAAUGUAUGGCCUGCUUUUCUAUCCCAUUGCUUUAUUGUCUGGGGAUUUAUAACUGCUUCCGCAUGUGCAUAUAUAAAUGAAAGGGUCGGCGAUACAUAGUCCUGGGAUAUCGCAUUUUAAAAUCGACCAAGAGUAAGGGAUGUGUGCGUGCCUGAGGGUCGGGGCGUGACAC